CGCAUUCGCCCUUCGGGGUGCCCAGGCGCGAAAACUCCACACUGUACGACAGUACGAUGGGGUUAUCUCGAGUGCAGUCCGAUAAGGGCUGCUUUUCCAUAGAGUAAUAUCCUGUGGGAAUAAGAGGGGGGCAAGACUGGUGUCAGCCGCCGCGGUAACACCAGCCCCUCGAGUGGUGGGGACUAUUAUUUGGUCUAAAGCGUCCGUAGCUGGCUGUAUCCGUCCCCCGUUAAAUCCAGCGUCCUAAACGUUGGACUGCGGGUGAUACCGUACAGCUAGAGGGUGGGAUAGGUGAGCGGUAUUUCUGGGGUAGGGGCGAAAUCCUUUGAUCCCAGGAGGACCACCAGUGGCGAAGGCUGCUCACUAGAACACGCCUGACGGUCAGGGACGAAAGCUGGGGCAGCGAACCGGAUUAGAUACCCGGGUAGUCCCAGCUGUAAACGAUGCUAGCUAGGUGUUGGGUCGGCCACGCGCCGCCCCAGUGCCGCAGGGAAGCCGUUAAGCUUGCCACCUGGGGAGUACGAUCGCAAGGUUGAAACUUAAAGGAAUUGGCGGGGGAGCAC
RNAcentral lists this ribosomal RNA (563 nucleotides) under uncultured archaeon. RNAcentral's name for it is "bacterial SSU rRNA". It matches the Rfam family "Archaeal small subunit ribosomal RNA", at positions 313 to 879 of the family's 1478-position model. The record is from RNAcentral.